RNAcentral lists this ribosomal RNA (70 nucleotides) under Senecio actinotus. Its description in RNAcentral is "partial 18S ribosomal RNA". The record is from RNAcentral. Lineage: Eukaryota; Viridiplantae; Streptophyta; Magnoliopsida; Asterales; Asteraceae.
UUUAUUAGAGUUUUGGAUCAAGGUUUCCGUAGGUGAACCUGCGGAAGGAUCAUUGUCGAAACCUGCAUAG